This 504-nucleotide ribosomal RNA is filed under the name Mycoplasma sp. 329A05. Its description in RNAcentral is "bacterial SSU rRNA". It matches the Rfam family "Bacterial small subunit ribosomal RNA", at positions 36 to 536 of the family's 1533-position model. The record is from RNAcentral. Lineage: Bacteria; Bacillati; Mycoplasmatota; Mollicutes; Mycoplasmatales; Mycoplasmataceae.
CUGGCUGUGUGCCUAAUACAUGCAUGUCGAGCGAUGCUAGCAAUAGCAUAGCGGCGAAUGGGUGAGUAACACGUACUCAACGUACCUCUUAGAUUGAGAUAGCGAACGGAAACGUUCGAUAAUAUCAAAUACUUAUUAGAAUCGCAUGAAUUUAAUAUAAAAGGAGCGUUUGCUCCGCUAAGAGAUCGGGGUGCGCAACAUUAGCUAGUUGGUGAGGUAACGGCCCACCAAGGCGAUGAUGUUUAGCGGGGUUGAGAGACUGAACCGCCACACUGGGACUGAGAUACGGCCCAGACUCCUACGGGAGGCAGCAGUAGGGAAUAUUCCACAAUGAGCGAAAGCUUGAUGGAGCGACACAGCGUGCAGGAUGAGGAUCCUAUGGAUUGUAAACUGCUGUGGUAAGGGAAGAAAAAGUAGUGUAGGAAAUGACAUUGCCUUGACGGUACCUUAUUAGAAAGCAACGGCUAACUAUGUGCCAGCAGCCGCGGUAAUACAAAGAAAGAG